Long non-coding RNA from Ictalurus punctatus (channel catfish), 569 nucleotides. The record is from Ensembl. NCBI's taxonomy places the organism in Eukaryota, Metazoa, Chordata, Actinopteri, Siluriformes, Ictaluridae.
GUGUCUGUGUGGCUCUGCUGCUGAUUGGUGGAUUUGCACUGAUGGUCUACAAACUGAGACACAAGAGAAGACAAGUUACAGGUUUAACACCUUCAUCCAACAACAAUAACCAGGUCCCCCAUGCCGCUUGGAUCUAUGAGGAGAUUAACCACACCAACCAUGUUUCUGACUCAGAUACUGACAUUUAUAUGAAUGCUUCAUCACCCACUAACCCUGAUAAAGAGAUCUCCUCCACAGUACAACCACCCCAAGACCAAAAUCUCACUUACACCACUGUGAGUUUCAAGAAGAAUCCAGAUGAUGCUGCAGUCACCUUCAGUAAGGAGGAAUCUGCCACUGAAUACGCCACUGUCCAACACCACUGAGGACUGGAAUAAUUCGAUUAUGUUUUCAACAAAAUAUUCAUUCAUAAUUUCUUACAUUUAAUCAUACAAACAGCACAGCAGUAUUAAAUAAAUAAAAAUCUUAUUUUCAUAACCGAUAUCAUUUUGUUGGCACUUUUGAACAUGCUGCUGAAGUAAAAUAACAAAUAAAUGCCGCCUGGUAUGACAUUAAAUGUACCAUUUCCU